Winogradskyella psychrotolerans RS-3 is the source of this 124-nucleotide non-coding RNA. The record is from Rfam. Lineage: Bacteria; Pseudomonadati; Bacteroidota; Flavobacteriia; Flavobacteriales; Flavobacteriaceae.
UGAUUUCUAUCUUUGAUGUUCAGAUGAAAAUAAAUACAAAUCAUACUUGGUGGUGGAAUUUCUCAAACUUACGUUCGUGAACUAAUCCUUGGUAUGUAAUACUUAUAUAAAAAAAAGGCUUGUC